RNAcentral lists this small nuclear RNA (23 nucleotides) under Arabidopsis thaliana (thale cress). Its description in RNAcentral is "snRNA_09892". The record is from RNAcentral. Lineage: Eukaryota; Viridiplantae; Streptophyta; Magnoliopsida; Brassicales; Brassicaceae.
CUGGCCUUGAAGACGUUGACUCU